Molecule: long non-coding RNA, 4219 nt
Filed under: Solanum tuberosum (potato)
Lineage: Eukaryota; Viridiplantae; Streptophyta; Magnoliopsida; Solanales; Solanaceae
Description: long non-coding RNA (STUB_LNC008639)
Source: RNAcentral
AAUGGAGAUCACUUGCUCUUCAAUGUCAAAAAAAGUUACAUUUAGUUCUUUGAGAAUGCCAAAAGUUGAUGUAGAACACAUAGGUUUGACUUCUAAAUCAUCCGAAACGAUAAACAAAGAAGGUGACAUUGUGAAUCUGCCAAAUUCACUUGUGCCACCACUUACAUCCCUUGGAUCUAUAAGUUGACGAUCUGGAAGUUCCACUAAAAUUGGAAGCAACUCAUUCUCGCAUUUAUGUUUUGGUGCAACACCAGGGUUGAGUAAUCUGUUUUGGUAAGAAGAAAAAGAAAACCAUUGUGACUCCAAAUCCGUUACACUUUUAUACAAGUUGUCUAUGCAUCCUAGUCCAGAAAUCCCGUUUAGAGCUUUGAUCACUGAUCCAAUAGGAAAAGUAAGGAAACUGAAUAGAAAAUCAACAAAUGAAUCCUUUGCUUCAGCAUACAAUAUCUUGUUUCUAGAAUUGCUUAAUACUAGCUUCAGGUUUAUUUUACUGGAGUCUACGGUUUGCAGGUCAGGGAACAGUUGAGAAAUUCUUGGCUCAGUCAUGAUGUUGUUGUCAACUAUAGCUUGCUUGUUCAUAAACACCUCAGUUAAAGGAGAUUUUGAGAUCAAUGAACAAGCGAGCAGUCUUAAUAUCUGGACAAAGAAAACGAAGAAAAUGCACGUGAGAUAACAUCAAAAAGAGGAAAAGAAAAUUCCCAAUAGCAUUAGAUGUUGCAAUUUAUUCUUCCCCUUUCUAUAACAUCAAACUGUUUUCUCAUACCUUACCCUUCAUCUGAAGGUGCUGUCACUAUCAUUUGAUUCGGAUAUCUUUUAAAUCAAAAUUUUGCAAUAUGCAUGCCUGUUGUUUUCAAAUCGGUGGUACAUAUAAUAAUACAGAAAACACUCAUUCUUAAACUGACAUACCAUGUUUCCACAUUCUGCUGAUCUAACUUUUCCAAUUUUAUCAUUUGCGGCUAGAUGGAACAAGUACACCAUUGGCUAUGUGAAUCUUUAUUGACUAUGUUGCUCCAUUAAACUUCAUUUUAGUCCACUAACAUAUAAUCUUUGAUAUGACUAUACAUACGACUACUAGAAUUCAUAUAAAUCCUUUGCUUUCAUUGCAUCCUAUUUUUCUCUAGGUAUACAUGAAUUCAGAGUUGAUUUCUAUAACUCAACUUAAAAGGAAGGUAAGACGGACAAAUCAAAACGGAAGGUAUUGUUACUCAUUAUUAGUUUAGUGAUCAUAUGAGAAAUCAACAUCAUGGAUUCAUUACUCUAGAUUGCUUAUUGAAAAUAUAGCAAAAAUAGCAAAAAGCAAGAUCCUUACCUCCUCCUUGCCAACUUCCACAAACAUCUCCUUUAUCUGGUUCAUGUGAUUGUAGCCAAGAUCAGAAAACAAUUGCACAAGAGAAAUUGGAGAACCAGGUAAUACUCUUAAGUCAUCACUUAUUAUAAACUUUAUCCCUCCCCUCACAAAAACACCUGAAUAAUCAUUUGUUGGAUUUUUAAUCUCUGAAAAUAUCUCCAUAGUUGUCUUCCCUCCACAAUUACAUUUAACAUUAACGAACCAGCACUUGUUAUAACAUUUAGAGCAUUCGAAGUACUUGUUGGAAACAGAAUCAUCUAUCUUCACUUUCAACUUGAAACAAUCUUCAAUACAUGGAUUUCUUGGAUUUAAAAGUAUUGACUUGCAAUUUUCUGUGCAAAGAUGGUUAACGCUAAGAUUUUCAACACUUUUGUAUAAAUUGUUCAUACAAGUAGAAAUCUUUGGCAUUGGCUGGUUGUUGUUGGUUAGUCUGAUUAUUGUUCCAAUUGGAAAAGUGAGGAAACUGAAUAAUAUAUCCACAAAAUCCUUGUUGGCUUCAGCAGCAAUAACUCUGUUGUUCUUUUCAUCUAUCAAAAGCUUUAGGGGAACUCUGCAUUCUUGAUCAUUAGCAGCCAUUUGAAUAGUUUGGUUAGUCUUUCUUUCUUUUUGAUUGAACAAAAUGUUUUAACUUAGGUAUGGGAGUGAAAGGUUUGUAGGAAUAUAAAAAGGUGUGUUUCUUAUAUCAUAAGGAAAGAGUUUGAUGCUAAUUCAGGUUUACUUGGCUUUUCAUUUUCAUUUUAGAAUAUUAACUACUUUGAGUUAAUUAAGACUGAUGGUGACAUCAAAGUAAGGCAUUUCUAAAGAAGAAGGAGAGGUUAAGGAUAAAAGUUAAAGAGACAAAAGAGAAAAGAAUCCAAUGACUAAUUUAUUUACUUUAAAGAUUAGAUAUGUCCAUUAAAGGUAAAGUAUUUAUUUACUUUAAUGUCCACUUAAAGGAAUCAUUCAAAGUGCCAAUUUCUCCCUUCUUUGGUUUGAUGUUAGCGUGACUCAAUCAACAGUUGACUCUGCGUUACAGUUUUGAUGUACGGGGGAGUGAGGGCAGGUUUUGAGGUUAAACACAAGAAGCUAGUCAAGUGAGUGUAAAUACAAUAAAAAUACUGGCAAAAGUUAUACUCCACUAGUGUUUGCUAACCAGCCUGAGAAUAUCUUAAGUUAGACUUCACAUCUUCAACAUGUGAUUUAGGCCCACUGUCAAAGCUGAUAAUGAUGACAUUAAAGAGACCUUCAGCAAGCUUAAUGCUUCUGACUCGCCAACGCUGAUCACUUGUUCUCCAACAUCAUAUAAAAGGGAUAGUGCCUUAGCAAAUUUCCCGAACUUCUGAGGGUGUUUAUUCUUUAGAGGUACAGGUUCCAUUGGGUCAAAGAAGUGAACUUCUGCAUUUUCAGAUUUAUGGUAAAGCACAAUAUGAUUCUCAACAGUACUUCCAUUACCGUUGCUAGUUGGAUACGUAUUGAACCAUUUUGAAUAUAAAGCCUCCACACUUUUGUACAAGUUAUCUAUGGAUCCCAAACCACAACUCCCUUUUAGAGCAUCUUCAAGAUGUUGAAGAGAAAAUCAAUGAAUUCAUUGCCGGCCUCUGCACACAAGACCAUGUUUGUAGACUUUCUUACUGUUAGCUUCACCUCUAAUUUCUUUGUGUUAAGACUUGUUCCAUUUUCCGGAAUGGAUGACAAAUUUCCAAACUCAGUCAUUGGGAUGGUGUCGAAUCUUGUUUUUUUAUUUUAUUUUAUUCCGGUAGUAUUAGAGUGGGUAAAAAUCUCACAUUGGUUGGGGAAUGGACUUGUGGUCUCCUUAUGGACUUGGGCAAACCUCUUCUCAAGAGCUAGCUUUUGGGGUUGAGUUAGACCCAGAUGCCAUAUAUUUACAUGGUAUCAGAGUCAGAGUCAGGUCCAUCCGUGUUUGGGCUCCCGGUCCACGCUCCAAUUGGGUGUUAAGAAUAGAACCAGGGGACAAGGGUGUUUAUCGAAAAAAAUUGUCAUUUUGAUUAACAGUAAAAAUUUGUAAAGAGGGGUUAAAGAAAGGUUGGUUAAGGUAGAUCAAACUCAUUUCUUUUCGCCUAAUAAGAGGACAUUAUUUGUUCCUCUAGUAUAGUACCAAAGUCAUAAUCUUUAGGUUGUUAUUUGUUAAAAAGAAGGCUCAUUCCUACUUCAUCAAAUAUAUUUGUAGCAUCACAAAAACUUUGCUAGCUUUACAGGCUAAUUUUACCUCAUUUAAUUAGGAGAUCUGAAUAAACUUGCAGUGCAAUAAAAAAUUGUCCAUAAGGCAAUACAAACUGAAUUUAUCAUAAAUUGACUAGUUUUAUACGGGCUGUUAGCUUACCACAGCUAUAUUCCUUUAUCAGGACUCACAACCAGAAAUAUAAAAACAAAUAUUAGAACAUAUUUUGGUAUAGCCACCAAGCCAAGUUGCUUUUGUAGUUUGUAGCAUUUUAGUCUACCUCUUCUCUCUGUGUUUUCAAGAAUGAGCUCAAGGCAAGAGUUAAAGCAGAUGAUGAUCCGAUUAAAGCCGCCUGUAGCAAGCACUGCGCCUGUCAUAGAAAUCAUGGUGUUAUUUUUUUUUUCGUUACAAUUUAAAGCAAUGUAAUUAGUUUUUAGGUUGAGCCAAGAAAUUACCUCAGCCUUACCAAAAGAGAUCACUUUCUCUUCAAUGUCAAACAAGGGUACAUUUAGUUCUUUGAGUAAACCAAAACUUGAUGUUGAACACAUAGGUUUGACUUCCAAAUCAUCCGAAACGAUAAACAAAGAAGGUGACUUUGUGAAUCUGCCAAAUUCACUUCUGCCACCACUUAUGUCCCUUGGAUCUAUAAGUCUAUUAUGAUCUGGAAGUUCGACAAAAAAUGGAAGCAACUCAUUCUGGCAUUUAUGUUUUGG